RNAcentral lists this ribosomal RNA (1530 nucleotides) under metagenome. RNAcentral describes it as "bacterial SSU rRNA". It matches the Rfam family "Bacterial small subunit ribosomal RNA". The record is from RNAcentral.
AGAGUUUGAUUCUGGCUCAGAACGAACGCUGGCAGCGUGGAUUAGGCAUGCAAGUCGAACGGGAAGCGCGAAGAUCAAUCUUCGGAGAGAGAUUUGCGUGGAGAGUGGCGGAAGGGUGAGUAACGCGUGGGUAAGCUGCCUUCAAGUUGGGGAUAACUCCGCGAAAGCGGGGCUAAUACCGGAUGUGGUUCUGUAACACCUGUUACGGUGACUAAAGGUGGGGAUCUUCGGACCUGCCGCUUGAUGAGGCGCCCGCGUGCCAUCAGCUUGUUGGUAUGGGUAAUGGCCUACCAAGGCUUACGGCUAGCUGGUCUGAGAGGAUGAUCAGCCACACUGGGACUGAGACACUGCCCAGACUCCUACGGGAGGCUGCAGUCGAGGAUCAUUCGCAAUGCGCGAAAGCGUGACGAUGCGACGCUGCGUGGAGGAUGAAGGCCUUCGGGUCGUAAACUCCUGUCACCGGGGAAAAACAGCCAUUUGGUGAACAGCCUUUUGGUUUGAUGGUACCCGGAGAGGAAGCCACGGCUAACUCUGUGCCAGCAGCCGCGGUAAUACAGAGGUGGCGAGCGUUGUUCGGAUUUACUGGGCGUAAAGCGUGCGUAGGCGGCAUUGUAAGUCGGAUGUGAAAUCCCGGGGCUCAACUCCGGAACGGCAUCCGAAACUGCAAAGCUUGAGUGCAGGAGGGGAGAGCGGAAUUCACGGUGUAGCGGUGAAAUGCGUUGAUAUCGUGAAGAACACCGGUGGCGAAGGCGACUCUCUGGAAUGCAACUGACGCUGAGGCACGAAAGCGUGGGGAGCAAACAGGAUUAGAUACCCUGGUAGUCCACGCCGUAAACGGUGCGCACUUGUCGUUGGGGGAGUUAACCCCCUCAGUGACGGAGCUAACGCGUUAAGUGCGCCGCCUGGGGAGUACGGCCGCAAGGCUAAAACUCAAAGAAAUUGACGGGGGCCCGCACAAGCGGAGGAGCAUGUGGCUUAAUUCGAUGCAACGCGAAGAACCUUACCUGGGUUUGACAUCGGGAAGGCUUGCCUUUAUCGCGUGAAAGCGCGAGAACCAGACAGGUGCUGCAUGGCUGUCGUCAGUUCGUGCCGUGAGGUGUUGGGUUAAGUCCCGCAACGAACGCAACCCCUGUGGUUAGUUGCCCCUCUGUCUUCGGAUGGAAGCACUCUAGCCAGACUGCCCGUGUAAUCGGGAGGAAGAUGGGGACGACGUCAAGUCCGUAUGGCCCUUACACCCAGGGCUGCACACGUGCUACAAUGGUCGGUCCAGAGGGCAGCAAUACCGCGAGGUGGAGCAAAUCCCCAAAGCCGGCCUCAGUUCGGAUUGUAGUCUGCAACUCGACUACAUGAAGUUGGAUUCGCUAGUAACGGCGUAUCAGCUACGACGCCGUGAAUACGUUCCCGGGCCUUGUACACACCGCCCGUCACAUCAUGAAAGCCGUCUGCACCCGAAGUCGCUGAGCUAAUCUCUUUUGAGAAGGCAGGUGCCGAAGGUGUGGGUGGUGAUUGGGAUGAAGUCGUAACAAGGUA